This 832-nucleotide long non-coding RNA is filed under the name Homo sapiens (human). RNAcentral's name for it is "non-protein coding lnc-WNK1-1:4". Lineage: Eukaryota; Metazoa; Chordata; Mammalia; Primates; Hominidae. The record is from RNAcentral.
GCUUGCUCACACCUGCUUUUACUCUGUGAGUUGUACUUUUGCUUCUUCAAUAAAUCUGUGCCUUUGUUACUCCGUUCUUUUGUUGUUUUGCUUGUGCGUUUUGUUUAAUUCUUUGUUUGAAACCCCAAGAACCUGGACAACUCACAGUCAAGACCUUCCGUCCGGUAACAAAGCAACAGACCUCAGUCAUGUCAUCUGCUUACAAAGGAGCCACGAAUCAAGACCGAUUCCGUGUGCUCUUGACGAUUCUGUUACACUCCUGCAGGGUAUCGCUCUGCCUCCCAGGCUGGAGUGCAGUGGCACAAUCACAGCUCACUGCAGCCUCGACCUUCUCGGCUCAAGCAAUCCUCCUACCUCAGCCUCCUGAGUAGCUGGGAUUGCAGGCAUUCAUCACCACACCCAGCACCAGGCCCAGAGGCCUACCUGCAGAACCAGGAGCCUUCCCAGAGAUGCCUGUUGAUGGAUGGCUACACUGAGAACCUGAAAUAGCGUGCAAAUAACUCUCUUCUCUGUACUUGAAGCCAAAUCGCAUUCCCAGGCAGACAUAUCCAGCGGGGAAAGAAGAAACAAGAAAAUGAAUGAUCCACUUGCACAAGAAUCUCUCCUAUGAGCAAGUGUUAGGUGAGGGUGGGGAUAAGAUGCCUGUCUCGGGAGACAAGGCUGUACAAAUUCAUAAUUUGAAUUUUUAUGGUUAAUUUUAUGGUUAAUUUUAUGGAAUUUUAUGGUUAAUCUUGGAUAGUGGGAUUUGGGAUAAAUUUGCUUUUAUAAUAUGUAAUUGUAUUUUCUGAAUUUUCUACAGUGAACUCGUAUUGCUUUUAUGAACAGGAAAAAG